GAGUCUGAUCAUGGCUCAGAUUGAACGCUGGCGGCAGGCCUAACACAUGCAAGUCGAACGGUAACAGGAAGAAGCUUGCUUCUUGCUGACGAGUGGCGGACGGGUGAGUAAUGUCUGGGAAACUGCCUGAUGGAGGGGGAUAACUACUGGAAACGGUAGCUAAUACCGCAUAACGUCGCAAGACCAAAGAGGGGGACCUUCGGGCCUCUUGCCAUCGGAUGUGCCCAGAUGGGAUUAGCUAGUAGGUGGGGUAACGGCUCACCUAGGCGACGAUCCCUAGCUGGUCUGAGAGGAUGACCAGCUACACUGGAACUGAGACACGGUCCAGACUCCUACGGGAGGCAGCAGUGGGGAAUAUUGCACAAUGGGCGCAAGCCUGAUGCAGCCAUGCCGCGUGUAUGAAGAAGGCCUUCGGGUUGUAAAGUACUUUCAGCGGGGAGGAAGGGAGUAAAGUUAAUACCUUUGCUCAUUGACGUUACCCGCAGAAGAAGCACCGGCUAACUCCGUGCCAGCAGCCGCGGUAAUACGGAGGGUGCAAGCGUUAAUCGGAAUUACUGGGCGUAAAGCGCACGCAGGCGGUUUGUUAAGUCAGAUGUGAAAUCCCCGGGCUCAACCUGGGAACUGCAUCUGAUACUGGCAAGCUUGAGUCUCGUAGAGGGGGGUAGAAUUCCAGGUGUAGCGGUGAAAUGCGUAGAGAUCUGGAGGAAUACCGGUGGCGAAGGCGGCCCCCUGGACGAAGACUGACGCUCAGGUGCGAAAGCGUGGGGAGCAAACAGGAUUAGAUACCCUGGUAGUCCACGCCGUAAACGAUGUCGACUUGGAGGUUGUGCCCUUGAGGCGUGGCUUCCGGAGCUAACGCGUUAAGUCGACCGCCUGGGGAGUACGGCCGCAAGGUUAAAACUCAAAUGAAUUGACGGGGGCCCGCACAAGCGGUGGAGCAUGUGGUUUAAUUCGAUGCAACGCGAAGAACCUUACCUGGUCUUGACAUCCACAGAACUUUCCAGAGAUGGAUUGGUGCCUUCGGGAACUGUGAGACAGGUGCUGCAUGGCUGUCGUCAGCUCGUGUUGUGAAAUGUUGGGUUAAGUCCCGCAACGAGCGCAACCCUUAUCUUUUGUUGCCAGCGGUCCGGCCGGGAACUCAAAGGAGACUGCCAGUGAUAAACUGGAGGAAGGUGGGGAUGACGUCAAGUCAUCAUGGCCCCUUACGACCAGGGCUACACUCGUGCUACAAUGGCGCAUACAAAGAGAAGCGACCUCGCGAGAGCAAGCGGACCUCAUAAAGUGCGUCGUAGUCCGGAUUGGAGUCUGCAACUCGACUCCAUGAAGUCGGAAUCGCUAGAAAUCGUGGAUCAGAAUGCCACGGUGAAUACGUUCCCGGGCCUUGUACACACCGCCCGUCACACCAUGGGAGUGGGUUGC
Molecule: ribosomal RNA, 1419 nt
Filed under: metagenome
Description: bacterial SSU rRNA
Rfam family: Bacterial small subunit ribosomal RNA
Source: RNAcentral